UGAAUCACCAAAAUAAUUAGGCAGAAUUUGCUCUUUAAAACUAUUAAUAAUAACAGGCUCGAAGUAAAUUCUUUCCUAAAAUAUCAAGUGGUUUCAUAUUCUCUGACUCAGAAGACUUUUAAUGAGUGAGGUUCGAAAUGCCUAAUGAGUUCCAGGUGGGAAAACCCAUCUCAAAAAAAAAAAAAAAAAGAAAAAAAGAAAGGAAGGAAAAGAAAAAUAAGAAAAGCAUCGCCAAGCCUGAUUAGUAAUCUGUUACAUCGGUUACAGAAGGGAGAAAGGGGAUUUAGUUAGGUUCAUGACAGGACACACUGGGGAAAACCUUGUGCUGGGAGCCUACAAAAGGGCACUUGCAGAGACUUUAUAAAAUCCACUCUGCUCAACUGUCAGAGUUCUGUGGCCUUUGGCCUGAGAUGUUAACCCAGCACUCAGGUUGAAGCAGGAAGGUUGCCAUGAGUUCAAGCCCUGCCCGGACUACGUAGUGAAUUUCAGGUCACACCAGGCCACAGAGUCAGACCGUAUCUCAAAAAAAAAAAAAAGGUGGCAAAUAUAUUAAAAACAGAUAAGUCUCUCUGCAUAAGAGAGCAGGAAAGCUAAUGACAAUCAAAAUCUCACGUUUUUCCUUGGCUUGCCUUUCUUCUGGUGACUUCAUUUGGGUUUGUUUUUCUCCAUGUGCACUUUCCCGUGUCACAUGACUGAGAGGAACGCCUGUUAGCUGAGGUGCAAGGCAAUGACUGAGAAAGACAAAGUGCAUCAUGGUAAAGUAGAUCAAUGGUGAUUUCCUGAGCCCCGGACUCGGGGAGGGUCAUUUAUACAUGCCUGGGCCACUGAGCAGUGUCUAAACCACUAAAGAAAAGAGAGUCCCCUUUCACCACCAUUAAUAUCAUGUAGAUCCUAAGGAGGAAUUACAUGAUCCCUCUUCAGCUUCUCUUCACUAGCAACCUGUAAAUCCUCAGGGAGAGGUGGGGUCUUGUAAGCCCAUCCUCCCUUGAGGACAGAAUAGUGAUGGCCCGCUCUCGUAUCCAGAUCUUCAUGGCUGCUGAGAAUUCUAGAGCGCAGUAGCCAUGUCCUGCCUGGAAAACAGCAUGGCACAACAUCCCACCCCUUCCUCUGCCCCUUCUGCCUCCUUUCUCUGCUCCCUGAACCUUAAAGGCUGUGAUAUAGAUACACCAUUUAGGGCUAAGCACACUCGCCUCUGAAGUUGUGAGCCCUGCAGUAAUGGACACCUGCUGCACAAAGCUUUUCUGCCCUAGGCCGACAGUAGCCCUGACUCUCCAGCUUAGACAUAAACACGGUUUGAGACACAUCAUGUUCACUUAGAGUACCACACAGCUGGCCCACCAGGCACAUGUCCCAUGGUUCUCAGGUCAGUAUUAUCAGUCACAAUCGCAGCUCAGUGCGACAGCUCUCCCCCAGCAGCCUGCACAGCACCCGCCAAUUCCUUAUAAGGGGCCACAGACUCGUUUAUGCUUCUUUUACAGGCCAGAUCUCAUCAAGGUGACUAUUGAGGUUAUCACUACAGUGGCUCAUGCCUGUAAUCCCAGCAGUAGAGAAACUGACACAGGAGAAUUGCCAGUUUGGGGUCAUCCUAGGCUACAUAUUAAGUUCCAGGCCAGGCUGUGCUGGUUGGGUUUUUUAAGAUGACAUUAGCCUGGACAUAUGUCAGAAGAGAGGUGUUUUUUUAAAAACUGGCUGUUCUGGAGCUUGCUAUGUAGACAAGGCUACCCUGGAACUCACUGAGAAGAGGGAAUCUUAAUUGAGAAAAUGCUUUCAUAAGAUUGAUCCAUAGGCAAGAUCAUGAGUGUUUUCUUGAUUACUGAUUAUGUGGGAGGCCCAGCUCACUGUGGGUGGUGCCACCCCUGGACUGGGUUAUGUAAGAAAGCAAGGUGAACACACCAUAAAAAGCAAGACAGCAAACACUGGUUCUCUGUGGGCUCUGCUUCAGCCAUGCCUUGACCUCCUCCAGUCAGAGGAUAAUGCUCUGGGAGCUCUAAGAUGAAAUAGCCUUUGCUUCCUAAGUUGCUUUUGGUGUUGUGUUUCAUUACAGCAGUAGAAAUCCUAACACAAGCCAAUCUGGGCCACACUAUGAGACCUUGCCAAAACAAAAACUAAACCAAGGUAGUCUUAAGAUAGGAGUAAUCAGAUCCAAUGCAAGCUAGCAUGAGUCUAGGUUAUUUCUUUUAUUCUUUUAUGUGUGUGUUUUGCCUACAUGUAUGAAUGUGUACCACGUGCAUACGUGGUGCUUAUGGAGGUCAGAAGAGGGUGUCCAUUCCCCUGGAACUGGAGCUGCAGAUGGUUGUAAACACUAUGUGGUGCUGGUGACAGAAGCCGGUGCUCCUGGACGAGCAGCAAGUGUUAUCAGCCGCCACGCUGUCUCCCCGUGGCCUUUAGGUUACUUAGCUCUUCUUUAUGUAAACGUAGUACUCAAAAAAAAAAAAAAAA
RNAcentral lists this long non-coding RNA (2439 nucleotides) under Mus musculus (house mouse). RNAcentral's name for it is "RIKEN cDNA A930013F10 gene (A930013F10Rik)". The record is from RNAcentral. Lineage: Eukaryota; Metazoa; Chordata; Mammalia; Rodentia; Muridae.